This is a non-coding RNA of Cyanistes caeruleus (blue tit), 146 nucleotides long. The record is from RefSeq and is a predicted model, not a curated record. Lineage: Eukaryota; Metazoa; Chordata; Aves; Passeriformes; Paridae.
AGUGACCCUGCAAAGAAGAUGUAGAGGUGUAAGUGAAGCAGCUCUUGUCCAGCUCCCCUGCAUCCAGUGUGGAACAGCUUUCAGCGUAGUUCUGGGCUACCUUCAGGUGAACCCAGUUGGACAACAGAACAUCGGGCAACCUUUCA